UUUUUUGAACAAAUGGAUUGAAUUAUCAUUGAAAGAAAUCCCAAUUGUCACAACAUGAUAGGUCGUCUAGCUAGUUUUUCCAUGCAUGUAAGAAGUCGCCAUUGACGAAGACCGUAAAGAACAACCAGCCAACUCUAUAAAACAUAUCAUUUCAUUCAUUUGGUCUUUCCAUAUACCAAAUACAAGUUUUUCAUAGGUGAUCAUAUCUUGAUUUCAACAAUGAGUUACGACAACAACAAUCAUCAAGCUUCCGCAGGGGUAUAUCCACCAAAGCAGGAGGUGUGGUCUCCUGA
Molecule: long non-coding RNA, 293 nt
Organism: Populus euphratica (Euphrates poplar)
Lineage: Eukaryota; Viridiplantae; Streptophyta; Magnoliopsida; Malpighiales; Salicaceae
Exons: 2
Source: RefSeq, a predicted model, not a curated record